CCUACGGGUGGCAGCAGUGAGGAAUAUUGGUCACUGGUCGGGAGACUGAACCAGCCAAGCCGCGUGAGGGAUGAAGGUACAGAGUAUCGUAAACCUCUUUUGUCAGGGAACAAAGGCGGGGACGUGUCCCCGGAUGCGUGUACAUGUAGAAAAAGCAUCGGCUAACUCCGUGCCAGCAGCCGCGGUAAUACGGAGGAGGCGAGCGUUAUCCGGGUUUAUUGGGUUUAAAGGGUGCGCGGGCGGUCUGUUAAGUCAGCGGUCAAAGCCCGGGGCUCAACCCCGGACCGCCGUUGAAACUGGCAGUCUCGAGUGGGAGAGAGGUAUGCGGAAGGCGCGGUGUAGCGGUGAAACGCAUAGAUAUCGCGCAGAACUCCGAGUGCGAAGGCAGCAUGCCGGCUCCACACUGACGCUGAGGCACGAAAGCGUGGGUAUCGAACAGGAUUAGAUACCCCUGUAGUC
RNAcentral lists this ribosomal RNA (459 nucleotides) under uncultured bacterium. RNAcentral describes it as "partial 16S ribosomal RNA". It matches the Rfam family "Bacterial small subunit ribosomal RNA", at positions 338 to 795 of the family's 1533-position model. The record is from RNAcentral.